CCUAGGGAGAAAGAGUACAGCAGGUGAGGAACAAAUUAAUUCCCUGAGUGCAUUAUCCCCCACAGAGUUCCUGAGUAGAGUACAGUACUACAAGUUGUGAAAACCUUGAAGAGAAAUGAUGACUAUAAGCAUUCAAGCAACCAUCAGCUCCUCUUGAAAUGGGCAACUUUUGACAGCACGCAUUGCAAUGAUAGGGAUCUGUCUGUCUGGGGUAAGUUAAAUUGGACAGAGUGCAUCCUACUCUGAGGAGAUUUCAGACUAGAAAGUAACCCUCUGCCUUAAAUGGUUGGUUUGGACAGGUUUCUUUUUUACACAUUCUAAUAAGGAUGUUUAUUGUGACUCUUAUGCUACCAGCAGUGGUUUUCAGUGUUAAAUUUAUUCUAGAAACAGGGGAACAGGCUCCCCUGCCUCAGCUGUGCAUGAGAGCUGAGCAUGGGUUGCACUGGUGUCCAAGCCCCUUGAAGUGCUUGAGGUUAUCGCUGCAAAAGCAGUGAGUAAUGCUGUGGUUUUUCUACUUCCUAUGCCAGAACCUUCCAGGCUCCAGUAGCUUGGGGGCUUCCAUAUACUGUCUUAUAUGUCAUAAAUAUCUUUUGUACUGCAGAGUGCAGACAAGGACAGCAGUUGAGAUAUGUGUGCAGACCUUUGAUAUCCCUUUGAUAUCACAUGGGAAGGCGAUGCAACAACUUCUCUGCGUCAGAAAUAGUUGUCUGUUCUGACCUGCUGAAGAGUGACCUUAACGUGGGGUUGUAUUGCAUACAAGAAAAGCUUGCAUUUAAGUUCAUGUACUUCUAGCAAAAUCACUGAUAGAUGAAAACAAAUGGAAAUAAAACUUCUAAGGCUUAAAUCUGCAGUUUGAUUCCCACAAAAACAAGCUCAGAAAAAAUAAUGUUUCAAGGCCCACUCUAGUGCAGUAUGGCUGUAUCUUUGUUACAUGGGGACAGACAAAUGGUCGCUGGUUUAUCUGCAUGUAGUAUCUAUCUGCAGGUUGUUGUAAUACAGACAACUUACUUUAUAUCAAUUUCUGCCUGAUAUUUCUGGAAGAGGAAGAUAAACACCUAAGAAGCAAUUGUUCUGUUGUGAUACUAGUAGUGUUUUGUGGUUAUACAGCUAUCUGCUUAACAACCUAUGCAUAUGGUGUGAAACUGCAGAUGUGUUUAUGGAAAUGCUAACUGCGAAGUAACCACUGGGCUGCUGAGAGUCAUGUGCAAGCACUGCCAUGGAAACUUUCUUGCUGCUUGAGCUCAAUCUGCUGUCCAGCAAGGGGAGGCUGUGGGGAUGGCAGUGUGCAGCACAGAGGAGAGAACUGCUCAGUGCUCUACAGGCAGUGUGACAGGGGGAUGCAUAUGGAGGACAGCUGAAAUGUUUUUAAAAAGAAGGGAAAAUGAAGAAACUGGAGUUGCUGCCCUGACUUGAUGCCCUGAGAUACUCAGAGAACUACUAAGGCAACAGUGAACAUGGCCUGAAGGCUCUUAAUGAAUCUUUUCAUGUUCAGCACUGGAUCCUGCAGGAGCAUCAUACUGUGGAGUGUUUACAAAGAAUCUGUGGGAAACUGGACAGAAAAAUAAGGGGGCUGCUACUUUAAAUGAGAGGUUUUGCAGUGUGCUCAGCAGUUGUGGAGAUGCUUUUCCUUCAUCCCAAACAGCCAAAGUAUUCCACAGCAAUAAGCUUGCAACUGGCUGAUGACGCAUUUGAAGCAAUGUUGUUACGUGUCAACUGAUGAAGACAGCAAGAAGUAAGUCAAUCCUAGAUCAGGUAUUCAAUAUUCAGGAAGCUGACCUUUGCUGCUGAUUCACUGGGUUUAUGUUGCAGAUGGAUUUUAUCGCAUAUCAGGUUUCAGUUUCUGUUUGAGCCUGUGCCACGCAGAGAUAGAUAAACGUGGAGGAGACAGGAUGAAGCUAACACUUACUUACCAAUCUGAAUGCUUGGGAUUGUAUCCUUCUGCUGGUUACAAAGUGGGCUUAUUUCCAGUUCAAAUUUUUGUUCCAGGUCACCUACAACAUUAAAAAAGGAAAUAAUUAUUUCUGCUACUUUUAUUUCUACACCUGCAUCAAACUCAUACAAUUACUUCAGCUGUAUGGUUUUCAGCAGCUGGAUCCUGGCACCAGUGAGAACCACAUUAGAUGUCUAAGUACCUAUUUGUCUCUUUGGCCUCUUUUUGUUCUUCAAGGUAUCAAAGAAACUGAGUAAGCAUGCAAAGAAGAAAAAUCUCUCCAAGUAAAGGUGAAUUUUGAAUGAACAUUAAAUGUAAACACUUUGUAAGUAUUUUGAGAACCUUCAUUUUUAAGAUAGAUAGCUUCUCUAACAUCCUACUAGAAAACCGCAGUGCUACAGCAUGAGUUGCUUCUGUGUGCUUGUAAAAAUUGCUGUUGAAGGAUGAUGGUGCCUGGCAACCCACAGCUGUGUCUGCACCAGCAAACUACUACAAGCCAGAGCAGCAAUUCAUGUGUCAAAAAUCAUAGGAUUAAGGUUGUAAGCAGGAAAGAAGGAUGAAAUUCAAGUUCGUCUUACAUUUGUGUCAUAUAUAGUUUUGUAUGAGGGCUAUUCUUAUGCUGAACUUGCAUCAUUAAUUCCCUGGGUCAUCCAGGAAGUUCUUACAGAGUCUCCUGUACAAAAUGGACUUGAAAUGAAGUGGCUGAUUGAACUCCUUCCCACUUUCACAGAGCAGAAUGGGAUCAAUUGGAGGAUGAUGUUUCAGGACAGUUCCAGGUUCACAUCCAGAAGACUCCUGCAGUGACUGGCCCUACAGUCUGCUUUAAAAUGUUGAUGAACAGCUUCAGUGAGGGAUCUGCUCACCCUAACUCCACCUGCAGCAAAAUUGACCACAUUGGGCACUGUAACAAUGCUUACACGUAGUCAGUAGAAACUGCUCCUGCAGGUGGAAAAAGGGUCACACAGAACACUUCCAUACAUUUAUUUACUAUUUAAUACAAUUAUUUAUUUAUUUUAUUAUAUUUAUUAUUUACAUUCAUUUAUUUUUUAAUUAGCUGGAUUCCAGGCUGGAUGGGGCUCUGGGCAGUCUGGUCUAGUGGUGGGUGACUUUAUACCCAGGAAAGGGGUUAGCUGCAUACAAGAACUCAGCAGCACAGCAGCUCAGGGAGCCUUGAUUUCUCCAGUUGAAGAUGCUGUUGCCAUGCAGACAGCAACCACCUGUCUCAUAGGGGAGAUCUGAUUUCCACAUGCAAGCAUUAGUCCAUUAGAAGAUUGCUGCAAAUUAAUAUUUUUAAACACUGUGAGUGGAACACUCAUCUUUUGUGGUUGCUUGCAUUCUCAGAGACACUACCAGGCUUUAAGUCUUUGGGGUACUGCAUGAGGUACAGCCCCUUUCCUGAUUACAGCACAGCUACGUACAGGCUGUGCUGUUCUGCUUGUCCAUUUUAUUUACUAAUAAGGAUGGAUACUGCAAGUGCUGUUUAGAACAAAUGUAUCCAUAAAUAAUGUUAUGCUAGAA
Molecule: non-coding RNA, 3448 nt
Organism: Coturnix japonica (Japanese quail)
Lineage: Eukaryota; Metazoa; Chordata; Aves; Galliformes; Phasianidae
Source: RefSeq, a predicted model, not a curated record